GCAUUAAUGGGGUAGUGGUAACCUGGGUCGUUGCCAUCAUAGAUGAAUAUCAUACGGUCUUCUCGACCCGCCGGGGGUUCGAUUCCCUCUUAAUGCA
This is a non-coding RNA of Marasmius sp. AFHP31, 97 nucleotides long. NCBI's taxonomy places the organism in Eukaryota, Fungi, Basidiomycota, Agaricomycetes, Agaricales, Marasmiaceae. The record is from the annotation of a GenBank genome assembly.